GAUGAACGCUAGCGGCAGGCUUAACACAUGCAAGUCGAGGGGUAUUGGUUUUCGGACCAAGAGACCGGCGCACGGGUGCGUAACGCGUAUGCAAUCUACCUUUUGCAGAGGGAUAGCCCCAGAGAAAUUUGGAUUAAUACCUCAUAGUAUAGUACUUUGGCAUCAAGGAACUAUUAAAGUCACAACGGCAAAGAUGAGCAUGCGUCCCAUUAGCUAGUUGGUAAGGUAACGGCUUACCAAGGCUACGAUGGGUAGGGGUCCUGAGAGGGAGAUCCCCCACACUGGUACUGAGACACGGACCAGACUCCUACGGAGGCAGCAGUGAGGAAUA
Molecule: ribosomal RNA, 331 nt
Filed under: uncultured bacterium
Lineage: Bacteria
Description: bacterial SSU rRNA
Rfam family: Bacterial small subunit ribosomal RNA
Source: RNAcentral